GACUAGAGUGCGGUAGGGGAGACUGGAAUUCCUGGUGUAGCGGUGGAAUGCGCAGAUAUCAGGAGGAACACCGAUGGCGAAGGCAGGUCUCUGGGCCGCAACUGACGCUGAGGAGCGAAAGCAUGGGGAGCGAACAGGAUUAGAUACCCUGGUAGUCCAUGCCGUAAACGUUGGGCACUAGGUGUGGGGCUCAUUCCACGAGUUCCGUGCCGCAGCAAACGCAUUAAGUGCCCCGCCUGGGGAGUACGGCCGCAAGGCUAAAACUCAAAGAAAUUGACGGGGGCCCGCACAAGCGGCGGAGCAUGCGGAUUAAUUCGAUGCAACGCGAAGAACCUUACCAAGGCUUGACAUACACCGGAAACUUCCAGAGAUGGUUGCCCCGCAAGGUCGGUGUACAGGUGGUGCAUGGUUGUCGUCAGCUCGUGUCGUGAGAUGUUGGGUUAAGUCCCGCAACGAGCGCAACCCUCGUCCUAUGUUGCCAGCGGGUCAUGCCGGGGACUCAUAGGAGACUGCCGGGGUCAACUCGGAGGAAGGUGGGGAUGACGUCAAAUCAUCAUGCCCCUUAUGUCUUGGGCUUCACGCAUGCUACAAUGGCCGGUACAAAGGGCUGCGAUACCGCGAGGUGGAGCGAAUCCCAAAAAGCCGGUCUCAGUUCGGAUUGGGGUCUGCAACUCGACCCCAUGAAGUCGGAGUCGCUAGUAAUCGCAGAUCAGCAACGCUGCGGUGAAUACGUUCCCGGGCCUUGUACACACCGCCCGUCAAGUCACGAAAGUCGGUAACACCCGAAGCCGGUGGCCCAACUCGCAAGAGGGCGAGCCGUCGAAGGUGGGACUGGCGAUUGGGACUAAGUCGUAACAAGGUAACCA
This 866-nucleotide ribosomal RNA is filed under the name uncultured bacterium. RNAcentral's name for it is "bacterial SSU rRNA". It matches the Rfam family "Bacterial small subunit ribosomal RNA", at positions 639 to 1502 of the family's 1533-position model. The record is from RNAcentral.